RNAcentral lists this ribosomal RNA (484 nucleotides) under uncultured bacterium. RNAcentral describes it as "partial 16S ribosomal RNA". It matches the Rfam family "Bacterial small subunit ribosomal RNA", at positions 30 to 507 of the family's 1533-position model. The record is from RNAcentral.
AUUGAACGCUGGCGGCAGGCCUAACACAUGCAAGUCGAGCGGAUGAAGGGAGCUUGCUCCUGGAUUCAGCGGCGGACGGGUGAGUAAUGCCUAGGAAUCUGCCUGGUAGUGGGGGAUAACGUCCGGAAGCGGGCGCUAAUACCGCAUACGUCCUGAGGGCGAAAGGGGGGGAUCUUCGGACCUCACGCUAUCAGAUGAGCCUAGGUCGGAUUAGCUAGUUGGUGGGGUAAAGGCCUACCAAGGCGACGAUCCGUAACUGGUCUGAGAGGAUGAUCAGUCACACUGGAACUGAGACACGGUCCAGACUCCUACGGGAGGCAGCAGUGGGGAAUAUUGGACAAUGGGCGAAAGCCUGAUCCAGCCAUGCCGCGUGUGUGAAGAAGGUCUUCGGAUUGUAAAGCACUUUAAGUUGGGAGGAAGGGCAGUAAGUUAAUACCUUGCUGUUUUGACGUUACCAACAGAAUAAGCACCGGCUAACUUCGUG